RNAcentral lists this unclassified non-coding RNA (235 nucleotides) under Hevea brasiliensis (rubber tree). The record is from RNAcentral. Lineage: Eukaryota; Viridiplantae; Streptophyta; Magnoliopsida; Malpighiales; Euphorbiaceae.
UUCUUACAAUGCUUACACCAAGGAACACAAAAUUUCACAAACCAUGCAGUAUCCUUUUCCUUCACUUUGUCAGAGAAGGUCUCAGGGGUUAGGGUUAUGACUUCAGCUUCCGCAUAUAAUAGAAUUAAGCUCAGAACAAGAAGAAGAAGCGGAAAGAGAAUCAGAGAGCGAUUAAGCUUCUUCAUAGCUGUGUAGACGAUGAUUUGCACUUUUCAGGCAUUUGGAAGCUGGUCUA